UUUAAACCUAAAGAAUUUGGCGGUGUUUUAGUCUUUUUAGAGGAAUUUGCCCUUUUAUCGAUAAUCCUCGUUUUAUCUGGCUUUAUUUUGUUUUCAGUAUGUAUACCGCCGUUAUAAGUUUAUUUUUUUAGAAUUAUUAAUUUACAAUAAUCUUUAUUUUGUUUUAUUUCAGGUCAAGGUGCAGUUUAUAGUAAAGUUGAGGUGAAUUACAAUAUUUUUGAAUAUAACGGAUGUAUUAUUUAAAAUUUUAUUGAAGGUGGAUUUAAUAGUAAUUUUAAUAAUAGUGUUGAUUUGAUUUUAGCUCUAAAAUAAGUACACAUCGCCCGUCGCUCUA
RNAcentral lists this ribosomal RNA (334 nucleotides) under Otraleus christianae. RNAcentral's name for it is "partial small subunit ribosomal RNA". Lineage: Eukaryota; Metazoa; Arthropoda; Insecta; Phasmatodea; Lonchodidae. The record is from RNAcentral.